Molecule: ribosomal RNA, 254 nt
Filed under: uncultured bacterium
Lineage: Bacteria
Description: partial 16S ribosomal RNA
Rfam family: Bacterial small subunit ribosomal RNA
Source: RNAcentral
UACGUAGGGCGCAAGCGUUAUCCGGAAUUAUUGGGCGUAAAGAGCUCGUAGGCGGUUUGUCGCGUCUGCCGGUGAAAGUCCGGGGCUCAACUCCGGAUCUGCGGUGGGUACGGGCAGACUAGAGUGCUGUAGGGGAGACUGGAAUUCCUGGUGUAGCGGUGAAAUGCGCAGAUAUCGGGAAGAACACCCGUGGCUAAGGCGGCUCUCUAGUACGGUACUGACGCUGAGACGCGAAAGCGUGGGGAGCGAACAGG